Molecule: ribosomal RNA, 253 nt
Filed under: uncultured bacterium
Lineage: Bacteria
Description: partial 16S ribosomal RNA
Rfam family: Bacterial small subunit ribosomal RNA
Source: RNAcentral
UACGUAGGGUGCAAGCGUUAAUCGGAAUUACUGGGCGUACAGCGCGCGCAGGCGGUCCACUACGUGCCGUGUGACAAACGUCGGCUUAACCGACGGAGGCCAGGGUACACGGGUGAACUUGAGGCAGAGAGAGGGAUGUGGAAUACCCGGUGUAGCGGUGAAAUGCGCAGAUAUCAGGAGGAACACCGGUGGCGAAGGCGGGUCUCUGGGCAGUAACUGACGCUGAGGAGCGAAAGCGUGGGGAGCGAACAGG